RNAcentral lists this ribosomal RNA (497 nucleotides) under uncultured bacterium. Its description in RNAcentral is "partial 16S ribosomal RNA". It matches the Rfam family "Bacterial small subunit ribosomal RNA", at positions 28 to 523 of the family's 1533-position model. The record is from RNAcentral.
GAUGAACGCUGGCGGCGUGCCUAACACAUGCAAGUCGAGCGGGAUGUAUAUGGACGAAACUUCGGUCUAGGAAAUAUAUUGACAGCGGCGGACGGGUAAGUAACGCGUAGGCAACCUGCCCUUAACACAGGGAUAGCCUCGGGAAACCGGGAUUAAAACCUGAUAAUGCCAAAUAGUCACAUGGCUGGUUGGCCAAAGAUUUAUCGGUUAAGGAUGGGCCUGCGUCUGAUUAGUUUGUUGGUGGGGUAACGGCCUACCAAGACUACGAUCAGUAGCCGACCUGAGAGGGUGAUCGGCCACAUUGGAACUGAGACACGGUCCAAACUCCUACGGGAGGCAGCAGUGGGGAAUAUUGCACAAUGGGCGAAAGCCUGAUGCAGCAACGCCGCGUGAGCGAUGAAGGCCUUUGGGUCGUAAAGCUCUGUCCUUGGGGAAGAAAAAAAUGACGGUACCCAAGGAGGAAGCCCCGGCUAACUACGUGCCAGCCGCCGCAGUAA